ACGGAAGGCAGCAGUGGGGAAUAUUGCACAAUGGGCGAAAGCCUGAUGCAGCGACGCCGCGUGAGUGAAGAAGUAUCUCGGUAUGUAAAGCUCUAUCAGCAGGGAAGAAAAUGACGGUACCUGACUAAGAAGCCCCGGCUAACUACGUGCCAGCAGCCGCGGUAAUACGUAGGGGGCAAGCGUUAUCCGGAUUUACUGGGUGUAAAGGGAGCGUAGACGGUUUGGCAAGUCUGAAGUGAAAUGCGGGGGCUCAACUCCUGAACUGCUUUGGAAACUGUCGAACUAGAGUGCAGGAGAGGUAAGUGGAAUUCCUAGUGUAGCAGUGAAAUGCGUAGAUAUUAGGAGGAACACCAGUGGCGAAGGCGGCUUACUGGACUGUAACUGACGUUGAGGCUCGAAAGCGUGGGGAGCAAACAGGAUUAGAUACCCUGGUA
This 434-nucleotide ribosomal RNA is filed under the name uncultured Lachnospiraceae bacterium. RNAcentral's name for it is "partial 16S ribosomal RNA". It matches the Rfam family "Bacterial small subunit ribosomal RNA", at positions 341 to 792 of the family's 1533-position model. The record is from RNAcentral. Lineage: Bacteria; Bacillati; Bacillota; Clostridia; Lachnospirales; Lachnospiraceae.